RNAcentral lists this long non-coding RNA (694 nucleotides) under Musa acuminata (dwarf banana). Its description in RNAcentral is "long non-coding RNA (MACU_LNC010661)". The record is from RNAcentral. Lineage: Eukaryota; Viridiplantae; Streptophyta; Magnoliopsida; Zingiberales; Musaceae.
UAACAACUAGACCUUUCACUUAAUGCUCUGUGAACUCUGGCUCAUCUCAUCUCUUAUAUCAGACUUCUGGCUCACAAAUCAUCUCUUAUAUCAGACUUCUGGCUCACAAACCACAUAGCAUGUAGGCCUACUAACCAAGCUACAACUACUGAGGAAUAUCAUUGGAAGACAUAGGCGAUGACCCUUGCCCCUUUAAGUAGUAGUCUAGACUUCCCGCUACUCCCCCAUUUCUCUUAUGCUAAUCUCUCCUAACUUCUAUGCUACCUCUGGCUCUGGCUCUAACUUUCAACUUCACCUCUAUCCUCUACUUCUCCUAUGUUUGAUAGCUUUCCUUCCGUAGAUAUAGUAGUUAUCGUAAGGGAGUUGACAGUGACAUUUCCCUUCAAUACGAGGUCGGGCGCUUAUAGUAAGUUGCAGAGUCCUGUACUGGCUUUGAAGCGGGCUCAGAGGCUUAAGUGAGCAGUGCGGGUGCAGUUUCUUCAGCGCAAGAAAGAUUCCAUUCAGAAUUGUGGCCCUUAGAUUAAGUCGCACUAGCGGCAGUGAUCCUUUCUGAUAAACCACUUCUCUUUCCCGUCUACCUACGCUAUACCAACACAGUCAAAAAGCCAUAUCAAUUUCUUAUAUCUUUAUAUGUUUAAAUCGUACCUGCUCUCGGUGUCGCGGUAGCAAAAGGACUGAACCGCUUGCUUGAUAC